RNAcentral lists this ribosomal RNA (527 nucleotides) under Semisulcospira libertina. RNAcentral's name for it is "partial 16S ribosomal RNA". It matches the Rfam family "Bacterial large subunit ribosomal RNA", at positions 1809 to 2608 of the family's 2925-position model. The record is from RNAcentral. Lineage: Eukaryota; Metazoa; Mollusca; Gastropoda; Semisulcospiridae.
AAAAACAUGGCUCUUUGGUUAUACGAAUAUAAAGAGUCGGACCUGCCCGGUGAAAACUUUUAACGGCCGCGGUACUUUGACCGUGCAAAGGUAGCAUAAUCAUUUGCCUUAUAAUUAAAGGCUAGUAUGAACGGUUUGACGAGAACAACACUGUCUCCUUUUUAUUUUCAAGAAUUUAACUUUUAGGUGAAGAGGCCUAAAUUCCAUUGAAGGACAAGAAGACCCUGUCGAGCUUAAAAGACAUCGUAGAAUUAUAUAUAUAUAUAUUUAAAUAAAUUUUCUAUUAAGCUUUUUAGUUGGGGCGACUGAGGAACAAAAAAAGCUUCUUAAAAAGAACAGACAAUCAUGUUUAGAUCCGGUAAAACUGAUCAAAGAAAUUAGUUACCGCAGGGAUAACAGCAUAAUCUCUCUUGAGAGGCCUAAUCGAAAGAGGGGGUUGUGACCUCGAUGUUGGACUAGAAUAUCCUAAAGAUGCAGAAGUCUUUGAGGGUUGGUCUGUUCGACCAUUAAAAUUCUACGUGAUCUGA